Molecule: long non-coding RNA, 865 nt
Organism: Bombyx mori (domestic silkworm)
Lineage: Eukaryota; Metazoa; Arthropoda; Insecta; Lepidoptera; Bombycidae
Exons: 3
Source: RefSeq, a predicted model, not a curated record
AUCGUCGGGAGGACGGAUAGCCUGCUAAAGAUAGAACGCUCAUACAAAUCGUGCUUACUUCCGUUUCAAUAUGAGUUUUAAGUAACUCUCCGGUAGGCGGCGCUAUCUCUAGUAUGGGCAUUCGCUUAUCUGUCAAAAUCGGCCGGUUACAUGUUUAUCUUUCGAAAGUAAAUCGCCAUAAUUUAAUAAUUGUUUCUCUUCAUAUUGGCCUAUUGUAGCAGUGAUGAUAGUGAUAUGGAAUUAUUUCAAAUGAUAAUGGAUUGUGAUGCAGAUAGUGAUAGUGAGGCCGAUAUCAUAUGGUUAGGAAAAUAAAGAUCGUCUGAAUUACAUGGCGAAGAUCAAUAAUUACGAAUUUGACUAUAGAUUUCUGAGCAAAGGUGUUGUGAAUGAAUUGAUUAAUUUAAUGAGACCAUAUUUGAGUGUAACGUCAAAAAGAUUCAAAUAUAGGAGAGGAAUUUAGAAAUAGAAAAAGAGUAUUUUGAAUGUGUAAUUUGUGUGCAAUGCAUCAUUGAUGUUUCAAAAUGUUGUUGCUUGAUGGCCUGGGUCUACUCAUGAUACAACUAUAAUUAACCAUUCCGAUUGAAAAGAUGCAUUGGUGUUUGUAAAAGAAGACUCCCUGUAUAUCAUUGAAAAGUAGAUUAAAACUAGAAAAUAUGCAAGCUGUUAUUAUAGCUGCCAUGCUGCAUAAUAUCGUCAGAAGUAUGAAUUUAGAAGAAUUAGAAUCAGAAAUUUCAGUCGCAGAUACAUUACAGGAAAAUAAUAUAAUUGUUCGUAACAAUUUUUCAAAACUUACAUCUGAAAUACAACUAUGUACUUAUAAAUAAUUGCUUCCAAAGAUAAUUUAUAAAAUAAACUCCAAAGAUAA